RNAcentral lists this ribosomal RNA (486 nucleotides) under Staphylococcus aureus. RNAcentral describes it as "bacterial SSU rRNA". It matches the Rfam family "Bacterial small subunit ribosomal RNA", at positions 233 to 711 of the family's 1533-position model. Lineage: Bacteria; Bacillati; Bacillota; Bacilli; Caryophanales; Staphylococcaceae. The record is from RNAcentral.
GCGCUGCAUUAGCUAGUUGGUAAGGUAACGGCUUACCAAGGCAACGAUGCAUAGCCGACCUGAGAGGGUGAUCGGCCACACUGGAACUGAGACACGGUCCAGACUCCUACGGGAGGCAGCAGUAGGGAAUCUUCCGCAAUGGGCGAAAGCCUGACGGAGCAACGCCGCGUGAGUGAUGAAGGUCUUCGGAUCGUAAAACUCUGUUAUUAGGGAAGAACAUAUGUGUAAGUAACUGUGCACAUCUUGACGGUACCUAAUCAGAAAGCCACGGCUAACUACGUGCCAGCAGCCGCGGUAAUACGUAGGUGGCAAGCGUUAUCCGGAAUUAUUGGGCGUAAAGCGCGCGUAGGCGGUUUUUUAAGUCUGAUGUGAAAGCCCACGGCUCAACCGUGGAGGGUCAUUGGAAACUGGAAAACUUGAGUGCAGAAGAGGAAAGUGGAAUUCCAUGUGUAGCGGUGAAAUGCGCAGAGAUAUGGAGGAACACCA